CGCUCUUUGUAAAUAUAAAAUAAGGAGUCGUACCUGCCCGGUGAAAAAUUUAACGGCCGCAGUACCCUGACUGUGCAAAGGUAGCAUAAUCAUUUGCCUUUUAAUUGAAGGCUGGAAUGAAUGGUUUGACGAAAUUCUUCUGUCUCUAUCUUAUUAAAUAGAAUUUAAUUUUUAGGUGAAGAAGCCUGAAUGAAGUCAAAAGACGAAAAGACCCUGUCGAACUUUAGAGUAAUUAUAAAAUUAUAUGCUUUUUAGAAUAAAUGUUUUUUAGAAUUUCUCUUUUGUUGGGGUGACAGAAGAACAGAUAAAGCUUCUUUUAGUUGAGGAAACUUAUAUGUUGAAAAGAUCCAUAAAAAUUUAUGAUAGUAAGAUAAGUUACCGCAGGGAUAACAGCGUUAUUUUUCUGGAGAGUUCAAAUUGAAGGAAAAGAUUGCGACCUCGAUGUUGGAUUGGAAUACCUAUAGGCGGAGAAGCUUGUUGUUGGGGGUCUGUUCGACCUUUAAAUUUCCACA
RNAcentral lists this ribosomal RNA (512 nucleotides) under Liolophura japonica. RNAcentral's name for it is "partial 16S ribosomal RNA". It matches the Rfam family "Bacterial large subunit ribosomal RNA", at positions 1816 to 2600 of the family's 2925-position model. Lineage: Eukaryota; Metazoa; Mollusca; Polyplacophora; Chitonida; Chitonidae. The record is from RNAcentral.